This is an RNA transcript of Anthonomus grandis grandis, 1323 nucleotides long. RefSeq lists it as uncharacterized. The record is from RefSeq and is a predicted model, not a curated record. NCBI's taxonomy places the organism in Eukaryota, Metazoa, Arthropoda, Insecta, Coleoptera, Curculionidae. The transcript has 8 exons.
AAUACCUAAUGUGGCAAAUACGUAUCCUACCUGUCUCCGCAUAUGCAGCGCGCAAACAAUAUCGUAUUUAAUCGACCUUUAUCUUAAACUCUGAUCAAACAUAUUAUUAUAUUUUAUCAUUUUAUAACGUAUGAUUUUUUUGCCACUAUAGUGAUAAUAUGGUUGUUUUGAAUCAUACGUGAAGAGUGACAGUGACGUAUAAUCUAAAAAUGAGGAUUUUUGGGGUUGCGUUUAGUGUAUUUUGUGUCCUUAUAGUAGCAAACUGUGGAGAGCCCAGUCCCCACCAUAUAGACCAACGAAUCUUAGAGAACCAAGACGGACUUAACUACACCUUAACAGAAAAUGAUAAUUUUACUUAUAACACGAAUAACUUGAUAACUGUUGAACCUGCCAUCAAUUCAAGCGUAAUUGUUACCAGCACGCCAUCCACUGAUGAAGACGUUAGUACCGAUGUAACUCGUAUGCAUGUAAAUAUUACAGCCCUCCUUAGAAACAAAGAUAAUCCUGUAAAUGUCAUUCCUAAAAAUCUUAAUCAAAAUAUCUCCUUGUUGAUGAAUAUUACAAAUAAUGAAACCACCGCGAAUAGCGCACUGGCGGUUGAUCCUAAAGCUAUUGAUACUGAAGUUAAUGAUCUCCUAAAUCAUAAUUCACAAGAAUCCCCAGAAAACCAAGGUCCUUUAUAUGAAAAGCAACAGCACCCAGUAGAAUCCUUAGAACCUGUGCAUUUCUCUGACAACAUUGACACAGAAACAGAGCUAAUAGAAGAUGGAGAAAAUACUGAAGAUGAGUUGAGGAAGAUAAAAAAUUAUAAAAUUGACGCUGAAGACAGAUUGCCAGCGGUGCCUUUAGCUGUCAUUUUGGUCUCCAUAUUUGUGACAUUAUCAGUGUUGAGCUAUGCAGGGUUAUUGUUAUGGAGAAAAUACUUAGAGGACAGAUAUGGUAGCAGAACGUUGUUAGUUGACGCCGAAGAAUUUGCUGAUUCAGGUGACUUAAAGCAUUUUACUAUUUAAAUGAUAACUAGAGUUAUAACCCUUAUUAUCUUAUGGCGGUUAUUGUAUUAAUAAUGAAAUGUGUAUAAUGUAUUUUCAUUAGAAUUGCUUUAAUUUUAUACAUAAGAAAUAUAAAAUAAUGAGUGUAAAAUGGUAAUUAAAUAAUGCUGCAAUGAAUUAAUAAUGUGAAAACAUUAUUAUUAAAAUUAAGCUACUGGCAACACAUUUCUCUCGAUAUAUUACCUAAAUCCUCAAUGUUAUGUAUCUACCUGUGAUAGAGAAAAAAUUUAAAAGUAUGUAAUUAUUUAAAAAUAAAACACAGUAUUAAUAAAUA